This 477-nucleotide ribosomal RNA is filed under the name uncultured bacterium. RNAcentral describes it as "bacterial SSU rRNA". It matches the Rfam family "Bacterial small subunit ribosomal RNA", at positions 335 to 802 of the family's 1533-position model. The record is from RNAcentral.
CCUGUAGUACGGGAGGCAGCAGUGGGGAAUUUUGGACAAUGGGCGCAAGCCUGAUCCAGCCAUGCCGCGUGUCUGAAGAAGGCCUUCGGGUUGUAAAGGACUUUUGUCAGGGAAGAAAAGGACAGGGUUAAUACCCCUGUUUGAUGACGGUACCUGAAGAAUAAGCACCGGCUAACUACGUGCCAGCAGCCGCGGUAAUACGUAGGGUGCGAGCGUUAAUCGGAAUUACUGGGCGUAAAGCGAGCGCAGACGGUUACUUAAGCAGGAUGUGAAAUCCCCGGGCUCAACCUGGGAACUGCGGUCUGAAGUGUGUGACUAGAGUGUGUCAGAGGGAGGUAGAAUUCCACGUGUAGCAGUGAAAAGCGUAGAGAUGUGGAGGAAUACCGAUGGCGAAGGCAGCCUCCUGGGAUAACACUGACGUUCAUGCUCGAAAGCGUGGGUAGCAAACAGGAUUAGAAACCCUUGUAGUCCAGAGAA